This is a non-coding RNA of Xyrichtys novacula (pearly razorfish), 3837 nucleotides long. Lineage: Eukaryota; Metazoa; Chordata; Actinopteri; Labriformes; Labridae. The record is from the annotation of a GenBank genome assembly.
GGUUAGGGUUGGAGUUAGGGUUAGUGUUGGAGCUAGGGUUAGGGUUGGGCUUGGAGCUAGGAUUUUUCUGAGUGCAAUGAACCAACUCCCAAGUCUCUAGGACAUUCCUAAAAAAAAUUGAUUUUUUCCCAUAGGAAUGCAUGGGUUAGGGUUAGGGUUAGGGUUAGUGUUAGAGCUAGGGUGAGGCUUGGGCUUGGAGCUAGGAUUUUUCUGAGUGCAAUGAACCAACUCCCGAGUCUCUAGGACGUUCCUAAAAAAAUUUGUUUUUUUUCCCAUAGGAAUGCAUGGGUUAGGGUUAGGGUUAGGGUUGGAGCUAGGGUUAGGGUUAGGGUUAGGGUUGGAGUUAGGGUUAGUGUUGGAGCUAGGGUUAGGGUUGGGCUUGGAGCUAGGAUUUUUCUGAGUGCAAUGAACCAACUCCCGAGUCUCUAGGACGUUCCUAAAAAAAAUUGAUUUUUUUCCCAUAGGAAUGCAUGGGUUAGGGUUAGGGUUAGGGUUGGAGCUAGGGUUAGGGUUAGGGUUAGGGUUGGAGUUAGGGUUAGUGUUGGAGCUAGGGUUAGGGUUGGGCUUGGAGCUAGGAUUUUUCUGAGUGCAAUGAACCAACUCUCGAGUCUCUAGGACGUUCCUAAAAAAAUUUGAUUUUUUUUCCAUAGGAAUGCAUGGGUUAGGGUUAGGGUUAGGGUUGGAGCUAGGGUUAGGGUUAGGGUUAGGGUUGGAGUUAGGUUUAGUGUUGGAGCUAGGGUUAGGGUUGGGCUUGGAGCUAGGAUUUUUCUGAGUGCAAUGAACCAACUCCCAAGUCUCUAGAAAAAGUGCCAACCCAAUUUUUCACCUUCCAGAAUUGUGUUAGGAGCACGUUUCAGGGCACGGGGAGUCUAUAGAAACUAAUUCUGUGGGAAGUUUUUUGAAAAGUUUCGAGGGUUUGGGUUAGGGUUAGGGUUUGGGUUAGGGUUAGGGUUGGAGCUAGGGUUAGGGUUAGGGUUAAGGUUGGAGCUAGGGUUAGGGUUAGGGUUAGGAUUAGGGUGGAGCUAGGGUUAGGGUUAGGGUUAGAGCUAGGGUUAGGGUUGGGGCUAGGGUUAGGGUUAGGGUUAAGGUUGGAGCUAGGGUUAGGGUUAGGGUUGGAGUUAGGGUUAGGGUUGGAGCUAGGGUUCGGGUUGGGCUUGGAGCUAGGAUUUUUCUGAGUGCAAUGAACCAACUCCCGAGUCUCUAGGACGUUCCUAAAAAAAUUUAAUUUUUUCCCCAUAGGAAUGCAUGGGUUAGGGUUAGGGUUAGGGUUGGAGCUAGGGUUAGGGUUAGGGUUAGGGUUGGAGUUAGGGUUAGUGUUGGAGCUAGGGUUAGGGUUGGGCUUGGAGCUAGGAGUGUAACUGUGUAACUGCAGUAUUAAUCUAUUACUGGGAUUUCAGGGAUGAAACUUAGUUUAUAACAGGCUAAAAUCAAAUCUGAAGGUGUAAGGCCUAAUUUCUGCUCUUUUCAACAGGGAAAUAUAGCUUUAACACCCACGUAUGUCAAAACUCAUUUUCCUUAAAUUUCGAUAACUUGCUCAUUUUAGGUUGAAAGGUGGACAGACAUUAUUAAUUUGACAGCGUCUCUUUAAAGUCAUUUUCCAUUACUGUAGUUGAAGCUGUUCUCAGCCGAAAGACUACACUCAUGAAUACUGCAUUUUUAUGGGCUGUGUGAUGUUAACAGAAAGUUCCAGACACACCAUAAAGGAAGCAGCUUUUCAUUUUCUCCACAAAUGGAAAUAAAGAAAACUACACAAGCUCAGACAAUAAGGUUGUUGUGACCUCACCAUGACCAUGUGUUGAUGAAUCUAUAACAUACAGCAUGUCUUAAACACAUCCUGUAGCUGACAGUAUUGGAUGCUUGACUCUCAUGGUUUGUGUUCAUUUUCGGGCUGUACUAACCAGGUUAUGAAUGGUGACUCUAAUACCCCUGCUGACUUUCAAAAUCCUUCUGGCUGGUAUGUUUAUGAGAUGCUGCAUGAAAAUUGCCAUUAAUGUGGAAUAAAUCUUGUGACAGAAGCAGUCCCUGAGUGAAACAUGGUCUAAACAUAAACGCUGAAUCAAUGUGGAUUGAUGUCUAUGAAGAGACUGUGAAAAUACAUUUACUUUUGAGCCAUUAUAAGCACAGUUGGAUACAUGUCCAUCAUGAAAUAAAGGGGUUUUUAAUGAACUUUUCAUGCGGGUGUUAACUUGGAUAAUGAUUACUAAAACCACUGACUGUUUUUUUCAUAGUUUUUCUUUAAUGUUGUCAUCUUUGCAUUACGUGCUGAUUCAUCAGUAUCAUAUAAUGUCAGCCGUGCAAUAAUAUUAAACCCUUUUGCCACCAUGUGGCUCCAGCAUUCCUCUGACUUGACUUGCAAUGCUGGAAUCGGUGCAACAGUGAAGGCAUACGAGGUUCUAAAGGCACUCAGUUAUAAUUUUUAAACAUUUUUCCACAUAAAAUAAGAGCUUAACUCGGAGCUGUUACCAAGACUGUUAACAUUAGCUUAGUUCAAAUGUGGGGUAGGCAGGAAUCCAUUAAAGAAACAUCUUUAUGUGUGUGCAUACAAAAAAGCUUUUCAUAUCAGUCAAUAGCUAUUAGUCAUUGAUGACAUUUGGUAAUAUCACAAUAUCGCUGUAUUUUGUUGUGUUUGUGUAGUCAACAUUUUAAACUUUUUGAGCGCUCCGCUUUUUCUGACUGUAAACAAAGCCAUUCUCCGCCUCCCCCAACCCGAUUGGUUGUGAGGCAGAUGCUGCUCCCUAGUGCUGAUUGGUUGUGAGGCAGACGCUGCUCCCCUGUGUCAUUCAGGAGCCCAAACAAAGUUAGCGUGCUACAAUAUCGGACAGUAAAACCAACCAGAAAGUACAGAAAAUUGUCUGAAUCUUCCUUUAGCCAUGACUGCCAACACAAGCAAGAAAAUACCGGAGACUCUGGUAGAAUAAUGGGUGCUUAAAAAGGAGGAAGACCGCCCGUACACAAGCUAAAAAAGCUGUCUCAACAAGAAUUUUGACCGAAGGACGUCACAGACAUUCUUUUAACACACCAGGGGACUAUUUAAGUCGUGUGAAAUUGGCAUGCCAUGGGACCUUUAAAGAGGAGCAGCUUGUGCAGCCAAAAGUCAAUGUUGAAUCAGUUUUUAAAGACACUUCUUGUUUUUGUUUAUCUUUUUGCUUGAGUUUACAGACUUUUACAUGUAAAUAAUAUGUUAGAAAACAAAAGCUACCCUGCAGUGACAAGGUGGCAGUUACAAAGCUUUUGAAUUUGACAUCCUAAAAUGAGAAUGCAUAGAGCGUUUUCAGUUUUUAGUGAUGGCUCAUUAUGAACACCAGAUCUCUUUAUUCAACUCUACGUGCUGAGAGACGAGAUGCAUUUUCAGUGCAUUUUUGUGUCUGUCAAAGCCCAGCAGCAGCAGCAGCCACUGGAACGGUAUCUCACUCCUCAGACAUACAAGCAAAUGUGACAUGGAGUUGAACAUUAUACCACAUCCAGGCAUGAAUUUAAAAGAUAUAUCCCCAUGGUAACAUCCACCAUCUCACUCCCCCACUCUCUUCCACGUACACAGUGACACCCACAAAGAGAAGAAUAAAAAAGAGUCAGUGCCAGAGGGCGGUGUGAAACAAAAGCCUCCUCCCGGUUGUCAGAAUCAAUAUUGGCAUGUAUGACAAAGACGGAGGGUCUCUAAAGAAAACUGCGAGAUUGAAUAUGGUGCUGGAAAUGACAAGUGACAAGCGAGCCGCUGUCUGAGGCUGACAGACGAGCUAACGACCAGAGACCUCCAUGACAGAUGCUCUCCAACACGUCAAGGAAAGAGAGGACGCUGGGGACCGAGAUGACAGCACCCACAAUCACAUUAAUUCUCCU